CUUUGYAGUAAURCAAGGCAKACGGCUCAGUAACRCGUAGUCAACCUACCCUAUGGACGRGRAUAAYCUCGGGAAACUGAGCAUAAURCYCGAUAGAWCAYWAURCCUGGAAUGGUUURUGKUUMAAAUGAUUCGUCGCCAUAGGAUGGGACUGCGGCCUAUCAGCUUGUUGGUGAGGUAAUGGCCCACCAAGGCKAUUACAGGUACGGGCUCUGAGAGGAGAAGCCCGGAGAUGGGUACUGAGACAMGGACCCAGGCCCUAUGGGGCGCAGCAGGCGAGAAAACUUUGCAAUGUGCGAAAGCACGACAAGGUUAAUCCGAGUGAUUUCUGCUAAAGRAAUCUUUUGYHAGUCAUAAAACCACUAGUGAAUAAGGGGUGGGCAAGUUCUGGUGUCAGCCGCCGCGGUAAAACCAGCACCUCAAGUGGUCAGGAKGAUUAUUGGGCCUAAAGCAUCCGUAGCCGGCUCUGUAAGUUUUCGGUUAAAUCYAURYGCUCAACGYAURGGCUGCCGARAAUACUGCAKAGCUAGGGAGUGGGAGAGGUAGACGGUACUCGGUAGGAAGGGGUAAAAUCCUUUGAUCUAUYGAUGACCACCWGUGGCGAAGGCGGUCUACCAGAACACGUUCGACGGUGAGGGAUGAAAGCUGGGGGAGCAAACCGGAUUAGAUACCCGGGUA
Molecule: ribosomal RNA, 678 nt
Filed under: uncultured archaeon
Lineage: Archaea
Description: partial 16S ribosomal RNA
Rfam family: Archaeal small subunit ribosomal RNA
Source: RNAcentral